UAUGUGAUCGUCUCUCGCAUAUCAAUAAGCGGAGGAAAAGAAACUAACAAGGAUUCCCCUAGUAACGGCGAGUGAAGCGGGAAGAGCUCAAAUUUGAAAUCUUAAAGGGUUUCCCUUUACGAAUUGUAGUUUAAAGAAGUGUUCUCUGUUGAGGUUUUGGUAAAAGUUCUUUGGAAUAGGACAUCAUAGAGGGUGAGAAUCCCGUAUUUGACCUUUACUUUCAACUUUGUGAUACACUUUCAAAGAGUCGGAUUGUUUGGGAAUGCAGUCCAAAAUGGGUGGUAAAUUUCAUCUAAAGCUAAAUAUUGGCGAGAGACCGAUAGCGAACAAGUACCGUGAGGGAAAGAUGAAAAGAACUUUGAAAAGAGAGUUAAACAGUACGUGAAAUUGUCAAAAGGGAAGCGUUUGACACCAGUGUUGUUUUUCUGGAAAUCAAUUAAAGAACUGUUUAUGCUAAGUUGUUUAGACUUUAUCAGCUAUCUGCUUAGUUUUGAGCUUUUCUUUAAUGCACUUUUCAGUUAACAAGUCAACAUCAAUUUCUUUUGCUGUAAAAAAGCUUGAGGAAGGUGGCUUGAGAUUCGUCUUAAGUGUUUAUAGCCUCUUGCCUAUGCAGUCGGAGAGAUUGAGGUCUGCAGCGUAGAUCCUUCGGGGCUAAAUGCAUUUGUGCUAAGUUAUAGCAUUUUAUAGACAACUUGUUGACUAUGAUUUGUCUUGUAGCUUACUCGCUUAUGUUAUUUUACCUACGCUUAGGAUGUUGAAGAUAUGCGCGACACG
RNAcentral lists this ribosomal RNA (774 nucleotides) under uncultured Neocallimastigales. RNAcentral's name for it is "partial large subunit ribosomal RNA". It matches the Rfam family "Eukaryotic large subunit ribosomal RNA", at positions 24 to 644 of the family's 3401-position model. The record is from RNAcentral. Lineage: Eukaryota; Fungi; Neocallimastigomycota; Neocallimastigomycetes; Neocallimastigales.